UUACAGAGUCUUUCUCCAUAUUACACACAGAGGGUGAGGAAGGGUUCAUGGGGAACGGCAAUGAGAAAUGGAGAACUAAGAGAGGUCCAGGCACAGGAGGCUAAGACUAGGCGAGGCAGGAGCGCGAGGCAAGCUCUGAGGGCCUGAGAAAGAUGGGGAGGAAGAAAACAGUAUGAAUUGAGCUGUCGGCUGGGCGCGGGGGCGUCGCGCGUACUUCUGACAGCUUCCCUCCACGAGGGGGCAGAAGGGAGAAGCCGGAAAGGGCAAAGUACAUUCCUAGGCCGGGGCAUCGACUGGGAAAGGCUCUGAAGCUGUGAAGGAACUCAUUCUUUGGCCGGGAAAGGGGAUGGGGGGACAAUAGCAGUAAGUGGCUCCCCCAAACUCGGCGGUUCAGAUCAGGGUGUGGGCAACUGCGUUUGGGGGCGCUAGAGUCCAGAUGGCAGAGAGGUAAGGGGGAUAGGGAAGGGAGGAGCAGACCGCGGGUAAGUGUAGGCGUCAGAGCAAGGAAGAAUUGAUGCUUUGAACUGUGGUGUCGGAGAAGACUCUUGAGAGUCCCUUGGACUGCAAGGAGAUCCAACCAGUCCAUUCUAAAGGAGAUCAGUCCUGGGUGUUCAUUGGAAAGACUGAUGCUGAAGCUGAAGCUCCAAUACUUUGGCCACCUGAUGCACAGGGGCGACUCAUUGGAAAAGACCCUGAUUCUGGGAAGAUUGAAGGUGGGAGGAGAAGGGGACGACAGAGGACGUGAUGGUUGGAUGGCAAAACCGACUCAAUGGAUGGACAUGAAUAUGAGCAAGCUUGGGGAGAUGGUGAUGGACAGGGAAGCCUGGCGAGCUGCAGUCCAUGGGGUCGCAAAGAGUCAGACAUGACAGCGACUGAACAACAGACUGAGGACCAAGAGCAGGGGUAAGGGGCGGAACUUGAAGCAGUAGGGCCAGGGCUUGGUGGGGGCGGGGAUCCGCGGAAGGAGGUGGGUCUAAAGUGCAUCUUCUCUCCUCUCCAACUCGACUGGAGAGGCCUUAGUUGUCGGCCUCCAGCAAGUACUGUUCAGUAUAACCCUUGACCAGUGCAAGCCCCCAGCCAGCCUGGUGGAAGUCAGCCACCAGUUGUGACCACAACUGGGGCGCAGGGAAGAGUUGGCACACGACGUUGAGACUGAAAUGGGCUCUGGAGCUGCAGAUGCUACAGAAGCUAGCUCUGCCUCUGCGCACCGUCGCUGCUGAAGGCAUCGAUGCGGAGGUAGCGCCACGUGCUGUCGCCGCGGUGCGGGAUGUGGAAAGGGCGCAUGCACAGCGUGAGCACCGCGGCGACAGCAGAAGGCGUGCCAGGUCGCUGCCAGCCUUCCACACGGCCUCCCCAGGCAGCUGCGAGAAGACGCCGGAGGCCUAGCAGCGCCUACGAGUUGAAUUGGACCAAAAGGAUGCCCUGCGUGGGGCACGAGCAAGCACGGCUCUGGGCGGUGGGAGAGCUGAGAGCCUGGCGCCUCUUGGCAUCUUCACUUCCACAGUCACACGCAUGGGCUCCCAUCUGCGUCCCUGGGGAGGGCCGACGGUGCGAGGCUGGGUGGAGUAAGGUAUGUGAGAGCAUGGAGGAACCAGGGGCAACGCCUCCGAAUACCUGGAUCCCCGAGAAGAGCGGGGAUCGACGUGGAGUAGUCAGGGAACUGGGGAUGUGGGCGUCAACAGUGGAAGCAGGGGAAGCUGAUCGCGGUAGGCCCCUGAUCACGGUAGGAUGGGGGAGGCGGAGGUAAAGGACAAAGGCUCAGAUUAGGAUGUUUUGGUUCCUGGACUGAGGCGGGAUCCAUGUAGGGGAGGCAGGGUCACGAAGCCUGGACGCCUGGUCUCCAGCCUCCCAGAGUAAGGAUCCAGGGCUUAAAGAUUGGAAGUGGAAGCUGUUUGAUUUUCCCUGGACAACAAGGUCUGGGUAAGGACUGGGAUUCCCAGGGCAGGGCUCAUGGGCGCCUCCACCGGGCAGAGCGGGCAGUGAAAGAAAGGCGGUGACUGACUGCAGGAAAGGGGGGACAAAGCCCGGAGGCCCCUUGAGGAGAGGCCCGGCCCUCCGAGCUCCUUUGUUCUGCUUGGUAAUUAGGCGGAAUUUCUUCAGCUCCUGGGGCCCUAGCUGAUCGUCCCUGGUGAGUUGUGCCACUUUGAUCCCCCAGGUGCUGUCUCUUACCAGCUGCGAACAGAAGGGCUCUAGCAGCCGGGCCACCCUCUUGCAGCGCUCCGGGGACGCCACUGCGCAGUCCCUCCGCCAGCGGCGUCUCCCCAGCGUCGAUCCGGUGUACCGACUCCCUCUCGAUCUGCGACCGAGGCCAUUGUGUGUGGGGGGGUUUGCUCUCCGACGGGGCUCUCCGUUCAAAGGACUCGCCUCUUCUCACACACUGAGCACUCCGUUGUCAUUCCCCCGGGGCGCCAGGCCAGACCCG
Long non-coding RNA from Bos taurus (domestic cattle), 2422 nucleotides. The record is from Ensembl. NCBI's taxonomy places the organism in Eukaryota, Metazoa, Chordata, Mammalia, Artiodactyla, Bovidae.